GACGAACCGUGCGAACGUUAUUCGGAAUCAUUGGGCUUAAAGGGCGCGCAGGCGGGUCAGCACGUUGGAACUGAAAUCCCCCGGCUCAACCGGGGAACGGGCUCCGAUACGGCUGGCCUCGAGGUGAGAAGGGGGACCUGGAACGUCCGGUGGAGCGGUGAAAUGCGUUGAGAUCGGACGGAACGCCGAUGGCGAAAGCAAGGUCCUGGACUCAUAUCUGACGCUGAGGCGCGAAAGCCAGGGGAGCGAACGGG
This 254-nucleotide ribosomal RNA is filed under the name uncultured bacterium. Its description in RNAcentral is "partial 16S ribosomal RNA". It matches the Rfam family "Bacterial small subunit ribosomal RNA", at positions 524 to 776 of the family's 1533-position model. The record is from RNAcentral.